UGACAGAUGCCACUGUUGCCACUUUGAAAU
RNAcentral lists this non-coding RNA (30 nucleotides) under Homo sapiens (human). The record is from RNAcentral. Lineage: Eukaryota; Metazoa; Chordata; Mammalia; Primates; Hominidae.